GGGGUCCUACGGGGCGCAGCAGUAGGGAAUAUUGCUCAAUGGGGGAAACCCUGAAGCAGCAACGCCGCGUGGAGGAUGAAGGUUUUCGGAUUGUAAACUCCUUUUGUUAGAGAAGAUAAUGACGGUAUCUAACGAAUAAGCACCGGCUAACUCCGUGCCAGCAGCCGCGGUAAUACGGAGGGUGCAAGCGUUACUCGGAAUCACUGGGCGUAAAGAGCGCGUAGGCGGGAUAGCAAGUCAGAUGUGAAAUCCUAUGGCUUAACCAUAGAACUGCAGUUGAAUAUGUUAAUCUAGAGUAUGGGUGG
This 305-nucleotide ribosomal RNA is filed under the name uncultured bacterium. RNAcentral's name for it is "bacterial SSU rRNA". It matches the Rfam family "Bacterial small subunit ribosomal RNA", at positions 333 to 655 of the family's 1533-position model. The record is from RNAcentral.